GCCCCGGUAGUCUAGAGGCCAAGGACACCGGCCUUUCGAGCCGGUGACCCGGGUUCAAAUCCCGGUCGGGGCA
RNAcentral lists this transfer RNA (73 nucleotides) under Candidatus Acidifodinimicrobium mancum. RNAcentral describes it as "tRNA-Glu". It matches the Rfam family "tRNA". From Rfam's summary of the family: Transfer RNA (tRNA) molecules are approximately 80 nucleotides in length. The record is from RNAcentral. Lineage: Archaea; Nanobdellati; Candidatus Parvarchaeota; Candidatus Acidifodinimicrobiaceae.